GUUGAAGAACGUAGCGAAAUGCGAUAAGUAAUGCGAAUUGCAGAAUUCAGUGAGUCAUCGAAUCUUUGAACGCACAUUGCGCCCCUUGGUAUUCCAUGGGGCAUGCCUGUUCGAGCGUCAUUUGUACCUUCAAGCUUUGCUUGGUGUUGGGUGUUUGUCUCGCCUUUGCGUGUAGACUCGCCUUAAAAUAAUUGGCAGCCGGCGUAUUGAUUUCGGAGCGCAGUACAUCUCGCGCUUUGCACUCAUAACGACAGCGUCCAAAAGUACAUUUUACACUCUUGACCUCGGAUCAGGUAGGGAUACCCGCUGAACUUAAGCAUAUCAAUAAGCGGAGGA
RNAcentral lists this unclassified non-coding RNA (336 nucleotides) under soil metagenome. Its description in RNAcentral is "partial contains 5.8S ribosomal RNA, internal transcribed spacer 2, and large subunit ribosomal RNA". The stretch from base 1 to 120 matches the Rfam family "5.8S ribosomal RNA", at positions 35 to 154 of the family's 154-position model. The record is from RNAcentral.